CAGCAGCCGCGGUAAUACGAAGGGGGCUAGCGUUGCUCGGAAUGACUGGGCGUAAAGGGCGCGUAGGCGGUGCGGAUAGUCAGAUGUGAAAUUCCUGGGCUUAACCUGGGGGCUGCAUUUGAUACGUCCGCGCUUGAGUGUGGAAGAGGGUCGUGGAAUUCCCAGUGUAGAGGUGAAAUUCGUAGAUAUUGGGGAGAACACCGGUGGCGAAGGCGGCGACCUGGUCCAUAACUGACGCUGAGGCGCGAAAGCGUGGGGAGCAAACAGGAUUAGAUACCCGCGUAGUCCCUGUCUCUUAUAU
RNAcentral lists this ribosomal RNA (301 nucleotides) under uncultured bacterium. RNAcentral describes it as "partial 16S ribosomal RNA". It matches the Rfam family "Bacterial small subunit ribosomal RNA", at positions 509 to 809 of the family's 1533-position model. The record is from RNAcentral.